Molecule: long non-coding RNA, 3019 nt
Filed under: Cottoperca gobio
Lineage: Eukaryota; Metazoa; Chordata; Actinopteri; Perciformes; Bovichtidae
Description: lncRNA (ENSCGOG00000014185.1)
Source: RNAcentral
GAAACUUGAUCGUGAAGAUCCAAGUGUUGGUUCUGGAUUCAAAACCAGUUCCAAAUCCUGUUCAAAUUCUAAAAGCGCUUCUAAAAGUGGUUGUGCUUCCAAAGCGGUUCUGCUUCCAAAACCAGUUCUGGAUCGAAGGAAAGCUUAGACUACAAAACAGGCACAAAUUCCAAAGUCAGUCCCAACUGUAAGUCCGGGAUGGGUUCCAGAGAUAGCCUUGAUUUUAAAACUGCAACUGAAAUCAAAGCAAGUAAAAACUGUCCAGAUUCUAAGACCAUUGUGGGUUUGAAAUCUGGCAUGGGGUCAAAAGGCAACCUGGAUACUAAAACUCCUUCAGACUCUAAUUCUGGUUUCCUUUCCAGUUCUAAACCCGGUCCAACCCGUUCGACUUCUAAACCUUCUCUGGUUGCCUCUGGCUCAAAGAUGGACCCUGUUGAGUCUAUCUCCCCAUUGUCCUCUAUAACUGGGUCCAAAGACUGUAACCUCAAGGCCACAAGCUCCAGUACUAAACCUAGUCCAGGUCCUAAAGCUGGUUCAGAUUCUUCCAGGACUGAACCAUUUUCUUCUAGCUCAAAGUCAGCUCUGGCGGAUUUGUCUCCCUCCUUGAUGCUCUCUCCGAGACCAAGUCCAGCAAAUGGGUCUGGUCCUGGCAAAACUAUUGGUUCUAUUCCGGCUGGACCAACAAGGGAGGUCCCAAGGAGUCCUGGUUCUGCACCAGAUUCCGAUGCAGGCCUGCUGGCUCCUCUGGCCUCCUCCAGCCCCAAAAUCCGAACCACUGUUUCCUUGACAAUGACGAGAGCAUCCACACCAUCUGUUGCUGUGGAAACUAACGCCAGCAUGACACCUCAUAAUACCAGUCUAAUUCAGGGUCUCACCUUUGACUCUAUCACCAAGACAUCGGCGAAAACAUGUGACGAGGAAGAAAGGGUGGACGUGAGGAGAGUAGGCACCACGCUGAGUCACCUGGGAGACGCAAAUGGCAGCGGUAGCAACAUCCCAUCAUCAAGGGCAACGGGUGUGGGAAGUGAGAAGGAAGAGAAGAAGACUUCAUCUCCCCUCCAUCCUCUUCCUCAGCUUUCCACUCAUCCAGCGAGCUCCAAGACAGUAAGGGAGACAGCGACCAUGACUGACCCGAGUGAGAGGCUCAAUCAGCAGGGAGGGGAGCGGAGAGAGGUGGGCGUCCAAGUGGAGGUGGAGGUUGUUGAACGCUUGGCUUCCACCAGCUUCAGUUUGCACAGGGGAGCUCCCUACUCCUCCCUGAUUGGCUCUCCCAGCUGUCAGUCAGGUUGUUUGACUUCGCCGACGGUCCCGUCACUGUGCUGCAUCCCUGCCGGGCAGCCGCCUUUCCAACACGUCUGCAAGAUCGACAUCGAGCUGUGCAGCCGAUCAGUUCUUCCCUCUGUUGUGACUGACCAGGCUAGUUCCCUCCCCGCCUGUCUGCGUACGUACAGCUUCCAGCAGAGCCCCACCCUCGCACGACUCGGACAAAACCAAGACGUAAGUGCUGAGAGCAUCUGGGAGGAAGAGGAGGAGGGAGUAGGGAGGAAACACAACAACGAGGAAGUGGAAGGUGACGCAGAGGAACAGGAAGAGACGGUGAAGCCACAGAAGGUGGUGUGGGACGACCAAGGGAGGACGUGGGAGGUGUACGGCGCCACAGUGGACCUGGAGUCCCUGGGCACGGCGAUUCAGUCUCACCUAGAGUCAAAGAUUCGGGAGCAGGAGAAACACAUCUGGACUCUGAGGAAGUCAAUUUGCUCCGACAGCAGCCUCCGAGCGUACACGAUGAAGAAGAGGAUAAGCGGGAUUCUGGGAUGCUGCAGAAAGGCGCCCGCUGUGGCAGACUGAGACCUGUACAGAAAGUUAGAAAUCCUUCGUACACAAGUUGUUCACUGUUUACAGCACGCACCUCUUCACUGGCCUGCAUGUAGUUCUACAAUAUUCAUUUCUACAAAUAGAGUAGAAAUAAAACCCUGGUGCACACAAAACAAACAAGCUCCAAGUAGCUAAAAUAUCAACAUUCAUGGAACUGUUGUUUUACUUUACGUCAUUUACGCCGACGUUUACAUGCAAAUACAUGAAAAUGAAUAUUCCACUAAUAUUCCCGUUUACGUGCAGACAGCAAUUUGUAACAUACUACGAGCCGCUUUUUAGCAUCGAAAUAGGAGUUUUUCAAAGUUUUGGAGUAUUUGCACAUAUUCAAAAACCUGUUGAUGUCCAAGACUUUCAUAAUGUUUAAACGUAAGUUCUCCUUCCGACCAUCAGGGGUUUUCUUUUGGGCAUGCACCCCUAAUUCAGAAUAUCAAAACGUAUAUGCUGUUUACGUGUACAGUAUUGUCAUAUUCUGAAUAACAGUGGGAUAUUAGGAAAGCUUGUAAACAUAAACAACGUAUUUAUUUAUUCUUUAUGGGGUUUUUUUAAAGUGUAAAAUGUGGAAGACGUUUGUCAACACCAGAGGAAUAUUUAUUCACUAUAGCAGAAGUAAAAAGCAUAAAACAAGCAGCAGUUAUAACUAAUAACAUACAUCUAGCUAUUUAAAAUAAAAUUUAAAGUUCCAGUUUUCUGAAGUGGAGCGAAGAGGACAGCAGCUCUCGACUCACUGGUGGUAAAUAUUUCAUCCGCUUCCUUCACACCGCCAUCCCACUCAAGCACUCAGGAAGCUGUGUGUGUGUGUGUGUGUGUGUGUGUGUGUGUGUGUGUGUGUGUGUGUGUGUGUGUGUGUGUGUGUGUGAGUAUUUUGAGUUGCUUGGUCAAACAUUGUAAUUUAACAGUGCAUCAAUGUGAACUGUACAACAUAUUUAAAUUCUCCUUUCUUUUGUUAUAUUUGAGGCCCCAGUGGGAGUUCAUACUAACAUAAACUUUUAGUGCACUAUCUGUUGUCUCCCUUUGCAGACACGUCCUCCCCGUUGCUCUUCUAGCUCCCUGCUGUCCUCUGUCGUGGAGUCGUGUUGUUGAUGCAGCACCGGGUUGCUUCUCUGAAUUAUUCAGAAACAUUAAAGUCACGCUCAUGUUAACGACA